This 1101-nucleotide long non-coding RNA is filed under the name Malus domestica (apple). Its description in RNAcentral is "long non-coding RNA (MDOM_LNC015892)". Lineage: Eukaryota; Viridiplantae; Streptophyta; Magnoliopsida; Rosales; Rosaceae. The record is from RNAcentral.
CCAGUCAUGAAAAAGUAGAUUAGAUUCACUAUCCUCCAUUAAUAGAUAGACAAUCUUGUCUUACUAAUAAAAGUCUCUAUUUAGGGACUCCUACUACUAUUUUUGAGUACUCAUUUAAAAAUUUAAGGGAAAUUUUUGUGUUUUUAAUGGAAUAAUGCCUCCAAUGGUAAAGUUCUUAUAGUAUAAUCUCUAAAUUUGAAGUUUUUAUGAUUUUAUGUGAUAAUUUGAUUGGGUGCACAUUUUUUUGUUUAUGUUAACUUUUUUUUAAUUAAUUGCAAAAAAAAAAAAAGAUGUUAAUUUGGUAAAUAUGGUAGCAAAAUACCAAGAGAUGAUUUAUGAUCAAUAGUAAAGAUUCAUAUUGAUCGUUCCAUGAAGCAACGAAUAGUGUGUCUGGUGCUAAGUGAGAGAGAAAGAGAGGACAACUAUUAUUCCUAUCUAUAGUGAGAGACGAUUUUCUACACCCAAAAUGGUUGUGGUCAUGGCCUCAAUUAUUGACUAACACGUAUUAAGUUUAUGACAGCAAAGUUAAAAAAAAUUAAGUUUAUGAAUACGUAUUAAUCAAUAAUUAGGGUCAUAGAGAGGCCACACCCAAGUUUGGGUGCAGCAGAUCCUCUCUCCUCUAGCCAUGGGAGCUUUGUUUUGGCCAUUCAAAAAUUAGCAUUCUAAAGAACGGAAAAUUCUAGAGAUGUUUUGUUCUUAGAAAAUAUUUUAUAGACAAUAUGAUGUGGAGUUUAUGAUUGGCUUGUGAUGAACAUGCUGGGGUCCUGAUAAUUAGCAAUUCUUAUAGCCCUAGGUGGAGAUAGUUUUGCACAAAUUUAGGCUAAAUUAAGUGAGCUAUAUAUAGCCCUCGGUUGGAGAUGGUUCUAAAAUUGACAAUUACAUAAUAGUCAUAACCAAGGAAGAAAAUAUCGGUAAUAUCGGAAAUAUCGGUAGUCCGAAAACACGGAAAUAGCGAUGGAAAUAUCGGGAUAAUAUCGAUAUCGAUAAAAAUUACAUGGAAACCACGGAAAUUGUAAGAAAAACUUGGAAAUUUUUAUUGAAACUUUGCAGGAUGUUAUUUAGUCAAUUAUCUAUUAGUUUAUCACAAAAAAUUGGAAGGAA